This 73-nucleotide transfer RNA is filed under the name Bucco macrodactylus. Its description in RNAcentral is "tRNA-Ser". It matches the Rfam family "tRNA". Rfam says of the family: Transfer RNA (tRNA) molecules are approximately 80 nucleotides in length. Their secondary structure includes four short double-helical elements and three loops (D, anti-codon, and T loops). The record is from RNAcentral. Lineage: Eukaryota; Metazoa; Chordata; Aves; Piciformes; Bucconidae.
AAGAAAGUAGCAUAGACGGUCUAUGCGGUUGGCUUGAAACUAACAUAAGAGGGUUCGAUUCCUUCCUUUCUUG